This 253-nucleotide ribosomal RNA is filed under the name uncultured bacterium. Its description in RNAcentral is "partial 16S ribosomal RNA". It matches the Rfam family "Bacterial small subunit ribosomal RNA", at positions 524 to 776 of the family's 1533-position model. The record is from RNAcentral.
UACGGGGGGGGCAAGCGUUGUUCGGAAUUACUGGGCGUAAAGGGCUCGUAGGCGGCCAACUAAGUCGGAUGUGAAAUCCCCAGGCUUAACCUGGGAACUGCAUCCGAUACUGGAUGGCUUGAAUCCGGGAGAGGGAUGCAGAAUUCCAGGUGUAGCGGUGAAAUGCGUAGAUAUCUGGAGGAAUACCGGUGGCGAAGGCGGCAUCCUGGACCGGCAUUGACGCUGAUGAACGAAAGCUAGGGGAGCAAACGGG